CAGAGAAUAGUUUAAGUAAAAUUUUAAUUUUGGAGAUUAAAGAUAAAAUAAGUAUUUUUUCUCUGA
This 66-nucleotide transfer RNA is filed under the name Onthophagus cf. tragus. RNAcentral describes it as "tRNA-Pro". The record is from RNAcentral. Lineage: Eukaryota; Metazoa; Arthropoda; Insecta; Coleoptera; Scarabaeidae.